This 239-nucleotide ribosomal RNA is filed under the name uncultured bacterium. RNAcentral's name for it is "partial 16S ribosomal RNA". It matches the Rfam family "Bacterial small subunit ribosomal RNA", at positions 524 to 762 of the family's 1533-position model. The record is from RNAcentral.
UACGGAGGGUGCGAGCGUUAAUCGGAAUUACUGGGCGUAAAGCGCACGCAGGCGGUUUGUUAAGCUAGAUGUGAAAGCCCCGGGCUCAACCUGGGAUGGUCAUUUAGAACUGGCAGACUAGAGUCUUGGAGAGGGGAGUGGAAUUCCAGGUGUAGCGGUGAAAUGCGUAGAUAUCUGGAGGAACAUCAGUGGCGAAGGCGGCUCACUGGCUCGAUACUGACGCUGAGGUACGAAAGUGU